Molecule: non-coding RNA, 917 nt
Organism: Nicotiana tabacum (common tobacco)
Lineage: Eukaryota; Viridiplantae; Streptophyta; Magnoliopsida; Solanales; Solanaceae
Source: RefSeq, a predicted model, not a curated record
AGGACAUAUACACUCUAAGGAUCAGCAGCCGUUUUCAUAGGAGACCCCCCUGAAGAUCGUCUUCUUCGUCACCCCCAUCAAAUUUUCGUUUUUCUUCUCCUACACGUUCAAAAAACCCUAGAACUUCAUCUUGUUCAUCCUUCAGCUUCAGCAGAAAUACACCAAGGACCCCCCAACCUUUGCUUCUUCUUCCUCGACUAACCUAGAGAACAUAAGGAAAACCCUAGACUCCAUUGAAGCUGCGCUACAACCAUUCCCCAGUCGAAGAACACAAACACUUAGAACUCCCAGCUACACACACCUCUCACACCACCUGGAAUUCGCCGGAGAUAGCAGCAGACAAAGCCAUCUCUUUACUGCCGAAAUCCGGCGAGGAUAAACCCAGUCGCUUCUUCUGCUUCUUCCCAUUCACGACAGUGCACUAGAAACCAACAUGCUACUUUUCUCGAAAAAUCUCGCGAAACAGUUUUAAGACGAGGUUGGUUUGAGGUCGUCGAUGUCCGUUCGAGGCUCAAUCACCGGUUCAAAGUUCAGGUCAUUAGCUCGCUUUUUGGUUCGUAGUAUCGGAGGCUUCUCUCAUUGUAUACGUUAAAGAAAGCGCAGCAAUAAAGGUAUGGACUUACUUACCGGAGUUUGAGCAUGACAGACACCCCAGGACCAUCCAGUCAGGGUCGCUCAUUCAGGAGUUUGCUUAAGGAGAUUUUUUUUAGUUAUUAUGUCUUGAGUCUGUUGUUCUUUUUAUGUCAUCUUUUACCUUCUAGUUUUAUACAGUAAUGUCGAGUCUUUUAGGUGAUGUUAGAAUUUGUCAUAGUCUAGUUAAGUUUGCCGAGUCUUUUGUUAUCGUAUUUCCUAUUUUGUAUUGGAAAAAUGUGUUAUAAGUCAAAAAAAUCCAAAAAAAGAAUUUUUGCAUUUUUAUA